UGUCUCGUAGCUCAGCUGGUUAGAGUAUUACACUGAUAAUGUAGGGGUCGACAGUUCGAGUCUGUCCGAGACAACAA
Molecule: transfer RNA, 77 nt
Filed under: Flavobacterium fryxellicola
Lineage: Bacteria; Pseudomonadati; Bacteroidota; Flavobacteriia; Flavobacteriales; Flavobacteriaceae
Description: tRNA-Ile
Rfam family: tRNA
About the family: Transfer RNA (tRNA) molecules are approximately 80 nucleotides in length.
Source: RNAcentral